RNAcentral lists this unclassified non-coding RNA (473 nucleotides) under uncultured Flavobacteriaceae bacterium. RNAcentral describes it as "16S-23S ribosomal RNA intergenic spacer". The stretch from base 79 to 152 matches the Rfam family "tRNA". Lineage: Bacteria; Pseudomonadati; Bacteroidota; Flavobacteriia; Flavobacteriales; Flavobacteriaceae. The record is from RNAcentral.
AGAGAAAGUAUGACGACUGAAUUUUAGGGCUUUUUAGGUUUGUGUUUUGCUAUUGCUGUCAUUUUAAUUAUCAUUUAGAGUCUCGUAGCUCAGCUGGUUAGAGCGCUACACUGAUAAUGUAGAGGUCGGCAGUUCGAGUCUGCCCGAGACUACUAUUAUGAUAAAUGGGAAUUUAGAGCUGUUAAUUCAUACAUACUGAAUUCUUUUCAGAAUGGGGAAUUAGCUCAGCUGGCUAGAGCACUUGAUUUGCAUUCAAGAGGUCGUGGGUUCGACUCCCACAUUCUCCACAAGUUUUAAACUGAACGUUCAUUGACAUAUUGAAAAAUUUAAUAUUACAAACACCAGUUAUCCAAUUAGUGUUUGUGAUAAUUAGAUACACAUAAAGUAUAAAAUAUAUAUAUGUAUAUAUAUGGAUAUACGAGCAAAUAAUAAUAAUAAUAAGUAAAUACAAUUUCAAAGAAAAGUAAAGUUAC